CUCCCAGACUCCUACGGGAGGCAGCAGUGAGGAAUAUUGGUCAAUGGUCGGGAGACUGAACCAGCCAAGCCGCGUGAGGGAGGGAGGUACAGAGUAUCGUAAACCUCUUUUGUCAGGGAACAAAGACUGGGACGCGUCCCCGGAUGAGUGUACCUGAAGAAAAAGCAUCGGCUAACUCCGUGCCAGCAGCCGCGGUAAUACGGAGGAUGCGAGCGUUAUCCGGAUUUAUUGGGUUUAAAGGGUGCGUAGGGGGAAUGCCAAGUCAGGGGUAAAAGCGCGGGGCCCACCCCCGGCCCGCCGUUGAAACUGGCAGUCUCGAGUUGGGGAGAAGUAUGCGGAAUGCGCGGUGUAGCGGUGAAAUGCAUAGAUAUCGCGCAGAACUCCGAUUGCGAAGGCAGCAUACCGGCGCCCAACUGACGCUGAAGCACGAAAGCGUGGGUAUCGAACAGGAUUAGAUACCCUUGUAG
Molecule: ribosomal RNA, 467 nt
Filed under: uncultured bacterium
Lineage: Bacteria
Description: bacterial SSU rRNA
Rfam family: Bacterial small subunit ribosomal RNA
Source: RNAcentral